GUCCUGUUUACAUGGGUUUAAAUCCUGUUUCUAUCA
Molecule: transfer RNA, 36 nt
Filed under: Bavayia kunyie
Lineage: Eukaryota; Metazoa; Chordata; Lepidosauria; Squamata; Diplodactylidae
Description: partial tRNA-Tyr
Source: RNAcentral